Sinocyclocheilus grahami is the source of this 1221-nucleotide long non-coding RNA. RefSeq lists it as uncharacterized. NCBI's taxonomy places the organism in Eukaryota, Metazoa, Chordata, Actinopteri, Cypriniformes, Cyprinidae. The record is from RefSeq and is a predicted model, not a curated record. The transcript has 4 exons.
GUGUGUGUGUGUGUGUGUGUGUGUAUAUAAAACAUUUCUGUCCCCCUCACUUCUGAAAUGAUGGCAACGCUCCUGUAUAUAGUAUACACAGUGUAGUUUUACCGAGCAAACCGCAGAAACGGUGAGAAAGACCGUGGCAGCUGCCUUUGACUCCUGGCAAGAACUCUGGCAACUGAUACAUAAAAAUGUACAGAAUAAUAAUAAUAAUAAAAUUGUGGGAACUUUGCAUCAUCAUUAAAAAAAAAACAUCACCGCACGCCACUGAGAACAGUGUAGUUUUACCGAGCAAACCGCAGAAACGGUGAGAAAGACCGUGGCAGCUGCCUCGAACUCUGGCAGCUGCCAGAAACGACUAGUGGCAGCUGCCACGAACUCUGGCAGCUGCCAGUGGCAGCUGGGGAUGCCACCGGAAGGGGCGCUGCGACCUGCCGAUGCCAGGAUUUGCGCUUGCUCUCGCUCACAAAGCGGCCGUUGCAAAGAGCUUGAACUGCGUCAGAAAUAGAACAAGGAAAUCCGUUAACUGUCGGGGAUUUGUCGCGCCGUGCCGCGUCCGGCGUAGACGAUGGGCUCAUUUGAGAUGCCCAUCGCCUCGCCUAAAUGCAGAUGUCUGGUUUCUCCUGCCCUUUGAAGACCCCUUAUUCUCCUGGACUGUUUUUUUUUUUUUGGAAUACUGGUUAGUAGUGGUGAGUAUUAUUAAAAACUUUUACUUUUGUUUUAAGAGGUUGCAUUCACAUGUGUACAUCUCUGAUGACUACUUUGAAUGAUAUGCGUCUUAAUAUAAUUUGAUGAGCAUAAUCCAAUAGUCUUAAUUCUAAUAAUUGUUAACUGUUUUAAAACUGAUGCAUACUUUUGAUAUUUUACAGAUAUCUGAUAUUUCACCAGACAGGUACACUUAUUGACAUCCACUUCACUGUCAGUCCAAAGCCUCUACAUUAAUGUGUAUUAAGGGUGCACAGUAGCAGUUGCAGUUAGAUUGGAGUUACCAAAACAUCCACAAUUUGGACAUUUCUGCCAUUAUCCAUGCUGCAAAUGAAGCCCUCAUCCCAGAAUGCAUUGAGGAGACAAUGCCCACGAUAGACCAGGGGACAUCAGGAUCGUCAAUGAGGGCCAGAUAAUCUUACAGUUAUUUGGAUAACUUGGCAUUAGCUACUGCACAAUUCAACUGCCCAUCUAACUGAAAGGGAACAUUCACCCAAAAAUGAAAAUUCUGGUAUCAUUUAC